Non-coding RNA from Vicugna pacos (alpaca), 435 nucleotides. Lineage: Eukaryota; Metazoa; Chordata; Mammalia; Artiodactyla; Camelidae. The record is from RefSeq and is a predicted model, not a curated record.
GGCAACCAGCAGGAACCUCCAGCUGCCCAAGGCCUCGACCACUGGCUCCUCUGAAAGCUCUGGGGAUUCAAUCUUUGCACACCUGUAACCCACCUGCAACCCACCUGCGGACACCAGACUGGCUGGGAACUGAUGUUGGAGAUGCCUGAGCUCAGCCCGCCCCCUUUCCAAGGCGGGGAAAACGGCCAGACACGCAGCUGCACAGAAAGACAUGGGGACUUAAAGGAAGAUGCCUUGGGACUGGAGAAAUACAGGAUAAGAGGAAGUAAUGAGAUGGCAUGAAAACUACAUGGUAUUUUGGGACUCAAAAUAUAAACAACAGGUCAUAUGACCCAGGAAUCCCACUCCUGGGCAUAUAUCCAGAAGGAACCCUACUUCAAAAUGACACCUGCACCCCAAUGUUCAUAGCAGCACUAUUUACAAUAGCCAAGACAG